RNAcentral lists this ribosomal RNA (397 nucleotides) under uncultured bacterium. Its description in RNAcentral is "bacterial SSU rRNA". It matches the Rfam family "Bacterial small subunit ribosomal RNA", at positions 521 to 916 of the family's 1533-position model. The record is from RNAcentral.
UAAUACGGGGGAUGCAAGCGUUAUUCGGAAUUAUUGGGCGUAAAGGGCGCGUAGGCGGUUUUGUCGGUCAGAUGUGAAAGCCCGGGGCUCAACCCCGGACGUGCAUUUGAAACAGCAAGACUUGAGUACGGGAGAGGAAAGCGGAAUUCCUGGUGUAGAGGUGAAAUUCGUAGAUAUCAGGAGGAACACCGAUGGCGAAGGCAGCUUUCUGGACCGAUACUGACGCUGAGGCGCGAAGGCGUGGGUAGCGAACAGGAUUAGAUACCCUGGUAGUCCACGCAGUAAACGAUGUACACUCGGUGUAGCGGAUAUUAAAAUCUGCUGCGCCCAAGCUAACGCAUUAAGUGUACCGCCUGGGGAGUACGGUCGCAAGACUAAAACUUAAAUGAAUUGACGG